This is an RNA transcript of Zingiber officinale, 797 nucleotides long. It is a transcript of the gene named MLO-like protein 7, with no coding region annotated. The transcript has 5 exons. The record is from RefSeq and is a predicted model, not a curated record. NCBI's taxonomy places the organism in Eukaryota, Viridiplantae, Streptophyta, Magnoliopsida, Zingiberales, Zingiberaceae.
UUUGACUUCGUUGUCAGUGGUUUAUCAAGAGGCAAAAGAGAACUCUUUUUGAAGUUCUUGAGAAGGUGAAAGCCGGUAAAACCAGAAAGUUCAUACCUAAAUUGGAGCACUCUUUCGACGUGCAUGGUAUCCGGAAUAGAUGAAUUACUGUAACUCUGUGAUCCAUUGUGGUUUUCGCAGAGUUGAUGAUUCUCGGCUUCAUCUCCUUGCUGUUGACAUUUAGUCAGGACCAGAUCGCGAAAAUCUGCGUGCCAAAGGCAGUUGCAGAUUCUAUGCUGCCAUGUCGCCCUGAUGCAGAGUCAACUGGCAGAAAUAAAAGGCGGCUGCUCGCGCUGGUGCUGACGGAGUCACACCUGAAGCGCAGGAUUUUAGCUGCUGGUGAUUCAGUGGUUGAAUGCCCCCCAGAAAAGGAGCAACUGAUUACUGCCACAGGCUUGCACCAGUUGCACAUUCUGAUCUUCUUUUUGGCUGAGUUUCAUGUGGUAAAUAGUGCUCUUAUAAUGGUCCUUGGAAGAGCAAAGAUACACAGAUGGAAGGACUGGGAAAAGGAUACGACAUCGGCUGAGUAUGCCUUCACGACUGGUAUAUAUAUGUUCACUAUUCUUUGUUUUUUUGUCCCAGAUUUGCAUCCUUGGAUCCUAGUUUGAGUGGUAAAAGUGCAGAACCAGUAUAUCGUGAUGCAAAAGGGAAAGCUAUUUCAAAGGAAGAGCUACUGAAACCAAAGGAGGAAGAGAAACCAAAGUUUACAAAUCUCAAGUACUCCAGAGUUGAAAUUGAUGAAGUGCGGUUCGAGUGGG